GCAAACUUGGUCAUUUAGAGGAAGUAAAAGUCGUAACAAGGUUUCCGUAGGUGAACCUGCGGAAGGAUCAUUACUGAGGUUGGUCGGCGCUUGACGCCGGUUACCCGUCCUUGUGUCAUUUGAUACUGGGCCACUCAAACCGUCUUCGGACGGCGAGUGGUUCUUUUACCAAACUUCGGCGGAAGUGUGGUCGUUCCUCACGGGAUGACGACCGCCGCCGGUCAUAUUUGCAACUCUUGCAGAAUCUAUGAAGUUUGAACUUUUUUGUAAAUAAAAGCAAAACUUUCAACAACGGAUCUCUUGGCUCUGGCAUCGAUGAAGAACGCAGC
This 329-nucleotide unclassified non-coding RNA is filed under the name uncultured fungus. RNAcentral's name for it is "partial contains small subunit ribosomal RNA, internal transcribed spacer 1, and 5.8S ribosomal RNA". The stretch from base 1 to 73 matches the Rfam family "Eukaryotic small subunit ribosomal RNA", at positions 1759 to 1831 of the family's 1831-position model. The record is from RNAcentral. Lineage: Eukaryota; Fungi.